This 506-nucleotide ribosomal RNA is filed under the name uncultured bacterium. Its description in RNAcentral is "partial 16S ribosomal RNA". It matches the Rfam family "Bacterial small subunit ribosomal RNA", at positions 29 to 523 of the family's 1533-position model. The record is from RNAcentral.
AGUGAACGCUGGCGGUAGGCCUAACACAUGCAAGUCGAACGGCAGCACAGGAGAGCUUGCUCUCUGGGUGGCGAGUGGCGGACGGGUGAGGAAUACAUCGGAAUCUACUCUGUCGUGGGGGAUAACGUAGGGAAACUUACGCUAAUACCGCAUACGACCUACGGGUGAAAGCAGGGGAUCUUCGGACCUUGCGCGAUUGAAUGAGCCGAUGUCGGAUUAGCUAGUUGGCGGGGUAAAGGCCCACCAAGGCGACGAUCCGUAGCUGGUCUGCGAGGAUGAUCAGCCACACUGGAGCUGAGACACGGUCCAGACUCCUACGGGAGGCAGCAGUGGGGAAUAUUGGACAAUGGGCGCAAGCCUGAUCCAGCCAUACCGCGUGGGUGAAGAAGGCCUUCGGGUUGUAAAGCCCUUUUGUUGGGAAAGAAAUCCAGCUGGCUAAUACCCGGUUGGGAUGACGGUACCCAAAGAAUAAGCACCGGCUAACUUCGUGCCAGCAGCCGCCGUAA